RNAcentral lists this small RNA (264 nucleotides) under Vigna angularis var. angularis. RNAcentral's name for it is "Non-protein coding transcript". The record is from RNAcentral. Lineage: Eukaryota; Viridiplantae; Streptophyta; Magnoliopsida; Fabales; Fabaceae.
GUUUCUCUCAAUUCCUUACAAGACAAACAGAAGCAACAAACAUAUGAUCUCAGAAUUAUAUAGGAACGGAAGCUUGAUGGAGAUUGAGUCUGAAAUCCAUAUUCCAUGAUGUGUCUAUGCUUGCAAUUCAACAUCUGCAUUUUGUUGAUGUAAAUGGGCAUUGGCAUAUUAAUCUACAAAAAAUUUAAUCAUGAAGGAAUUCAGUCAAAGGACAAAAUUAAAGACUGAAUUUUGAAAUUUGCAGCAGAGAAAUGUUGCUACUGG